GUAAGGAAUAUUGGUCAAUGGGGGCAACCCUGACCCAGCCAUGCCGCGUGAAGGAUGAAGGCGUUAUGCGUUGUAAACUUCUUUUGUAUGGGAAGAAUGACAGGGAUUUAUCCUUGGAGAGACGGUACCAUACGAAUAAGCACCGGCUAACUCCGUGCCAGCAGCCGCGGUAAUACGGUGGGUGCAAGCGUUAUCCGGAAUCACUGGGUUUAAAGGGUACGUAGGCGGUUAAUUAAGUCAGUAGUGAAAGACUGUCGCUCAACGACGGAUGUGCAAUUGAUACUGGUUAACUUGAAUCAGGAUAGAGAUGGCGGAAUGGGUCAUGUAGCGGUGAAAUGCGUAGAUAUGACGUGGAACACCGAUAGCGAAGGCAGCUGACUGAGCCGUGAUUGACGCUGAGGUACGAAAGUGUGGGGAGCAAACAGGAUUAGAAACCCGAGUAGUCC
RNAcentral lists this ribosomal RNA (446 nucleotides) under uncultured bacterium. Its description in RNAcentral is "partial 16S ribosomal RNA". It matches the Rfam family "Bacterial small subunit ribosomal RNA", at positions 354 to 796 of the family's 1533-position model. The record is from RNAcentral.